Molecule: ribosomal RNA, 507 nt
Filed under: uncultured bacterium
Lineage: Bacteria
Description: partial 16S ribosomal RNA
Rfam family: Bacterial small subunit ribosomal RNA
Source: RNAcentral
GACGAACGCUGGCGGCGUGCCUAAUACAUGCAAGUCGAACGCAUUGUCUUUCAACUUGGCUUGCUACAGAGAAAGGAAGUGGGGGGCGAAACGGGGAGAAACACUUCGUUAACCUGGGCAACAGCGGGGGAAAACAGGCGGAAACAGGUGAUAAUAUCGUGUAACUCCAUUUACCGCAGGGAAGUUCGGUGGUAGGGGCUGUUGUGGCGGUGUCGGAUGUACAUGCGGUGGAUGAGCUAGAUCGUGGGGUUAAGGCCUAGCAAGGCUGCGAUGCUUAGCCGACCUGGUGGGGUGGUCGGCCACACUGGGACUGAGACACGGCCCAGACUCCUACGGGAGGCAGCAGUAGGGAAUCGUCGGGAAGGGGCGCAAGUCUGACCGAGCAACGCCGAGUGAGUGAAGAACGUUUUCGGGUUGGAAAACUCUGUUGUUAGGGAAGAACGAGGUUGAGAGUGGAAAGUUCAUCCCUUGACGGUAACUAAUAAGAAAGCCACGGCUAACUACGUG